Molecule: transfer RNA, 64 nt
Filed under: Lethe uemurai
Lineage: Eukaryota; Metazoa; Arthropoda; Insecta; Lepidoptera; Nymphalidae
Description: tRNA-Pro
Source: RNAcentral
CAAAGAAUAGUUUAAAAAAAUUAUAAUUUUGGAGAUUAUAGAUAAAGAGUUUCUUUUUCUUUGA